Molecule: long non-coding RNA, 752 nt
Filed under: Triticum aestivum (bread wheat)
Lineage: Eukaryota; Viridiplantae; Streptophyta; Magnoliopsida; Poales; Poaceae
Description: long non-coding RNA (TAES_LNC007203)
Source: RNAcentral
CCUUGGGCGUCGCCAUGUUCUUCCUCACGUGUUGCCGACCGGCGCCGAGGAAGAGGACAUUACGUUCAAAUCGCUCCCAUCGUGAGGCUCGAGGAGGUUGCCAUCACCACCGACAAAGAGGACGAGGACCUCCUCCUCGAUAUGUAAGUCGUCUUUACUUCUGUUGAUCUGACCUGAUCGGACCCUCCUCAUCAGUAUCUUUAUAUUUUCAUGCAUGGGCCAUAAUAAAACAAAGAGCAUAUUGGCGUAUCACACUGUCUUAUGACUAUAGCAGAAAAAUGCGUCCACAAAAUUUUAAAAGCUUGGUUUGAUAACCAAACAGGGAAAUAGUUCAUCUUUUGAUCAUUUCAUGAAACAAAGAGUACUUUAAUAAGCCGCAAGGUACUAAUUGGUUUCCUAUGUAGAGAUGUAUGAAGAUGGGGCUUCUAAAUUUCAGUAGUGCUGUCAUUAUCUCAGAUCCCAUGAUGUUGGUUGCUGUUAUUCUACAUACCCUUUUAUGGUGCCUGAGGGACACAACUAUAGUGGCUCGUGACUGUCAAAGCCGGCAAUAUCGAUAGGCUUGUACAGAUUAUUCCAAAAGAGAUAUUGAUUGCUAUGGGAUGUACAUUCAAAAGAGAAUGCAUUUGUUCAACGGGGUGAGUUAUGUCCCAUGUUUACUCAUACACACAACCUGUCUUGAAUUCCAUGGCGGCAAUACAUUAUUUGAUGUUAUCUCUGCUUAUUAUUAUUCUGAUUGCCGUAUUGGUUCUGGA